Xyrichtys novacula (pearly razorfish) is the source of this 301-nucleotide non-coding RNA. The record is from the annotation of a GenBank genome assembly. NCBI's taxonomy places the organism in Eukaryota, Metazoa, Chordata, Actinopteri, Labriformes, Labridae.
GGUGGAGGAGGUGGAGGAGGAGGAGGAGGAGGAGGAGGAGGAGGAGGAGGAGGAGGAGGUGCCUCUUUGUUCUCUUUGUUUCACAGGCAGUGAUGGUGGUGGUGGUGGUGGUGGUGCAGAGCCGGACCCUGAAGCCUGCCGAGCUGUCAAAUUGGCAUCCUUCCACCUACCUACCUCCCCCCACUCCUCACCCCCACCCAUCACUCUCCCACCUCCUCAUUUAUCCUCCUUUUAUUCCAGCACCCCCCCCCCCCAUCUCGUCACCCUGCCAACUCCAUCCUUUCCUUCUCCUCCCCCUCCU